GCUGCUCGUAGCUCCAGUAAUUAGACUGUCAUUGCUUGUUAGAGGAUAGGAAAACGCUCCUAUGACAGAUUCCACGAGUCCUCUGUUUUUUAAGACCUCACAGAAAUCACCAGAGCAUUAAUUGAGAUCUCUUAUUUCUCUGGAAUCAGAAGGGAAGAAGUUCCCUCUGCUCCUUCGCACUCCAAUCAGAGCCCUCUCCCGCCUCCCAUGGAACGCGGUUAAUUCACUCUCAGAGCCUCGGGAGAAGUUGAAUGCCUUUCGUACCUACCCGGCAGGAAGAGAGAGCUUCCAGGCCGUGCGAACUUACUUUUAAAAUCUCCUUCUCGUUUUGCUAAAUUUAACUAAAAGGAGAUACACAGCCUUUUCUCCACUAACUGAGAACUGAGAACUCCAUUAACUGAGCGGAGACUCGGACACUUCUUCCCAUCCGAGCUAAUGUUAAUUCGGGAGAUGCUCAGAAGGGGCUAUUCCCCGCCGAACAAAAGCACAGGAAGAUCACGCCGAGCUGCUCCUGCCCCCAUCCAGCAGAUGAGACAGAGGAGGCGAUUUCUUUUCCUCCCUUCCGUACAUUCCCCUUUCCCCCGCAAUCAUACAAGGUUAACUCAACAGAGGAGUCUCAAUCCAAAUGGCUACUUGGAUUGCAUUUAAAAAAAAAAAAAAAAGCACUGAAGGANNNNNNNNNNNNNNNNNNNNGGGAAAGAAAAGAGAAAAAGCAGCAGGCUGAUUACGAGGUGUCAAAACUGCCAGGAGCAAGAAGGUGAUAGCAAUCAGGGGUGAGAAGAGCGCGCCAUUCGUGCGGGGCAGCUAAUUAUCCGUCUCAUUUGAGAAGAGCAGCAUUCGAGGCAGCAGCGUUCGCCUGCUGAACGGUGACAGAUUGGCGCGGAGGAGAGGGGAGGUGUUAAAACAAUGGAGCCGGGCUUGCGAGCGCUGUUGCAUGCUAAUCAGCCCGGCCUCCUUCCUUCCUUCCCUCCCUCCUUCCCUCCGCCUGCCUGCCGCGAUCCCUCCUUCCCGCCGGCCGCAUGGCAAGCCCAACACUCCCGGGCCCCUCCGCGACGUGUAGCCCGCAGCUGGCCGAGCGAUAGGGAACACGCAGCCAGAAGGACACUGCCCGGAUCGCUAGCUAAGCUCCAGGUGAAGCCACCGUUCAGCUCCCGAACCUUCCGUGGGCUGCACGACAGCACUCGGCGAAAUUAAAUCACGUCUGCGUGUAACCUCCCGUUUCAUUUAACAAGUGUUACUUCAAACGGCACGUGGCUGUUUUAUGGCAGGAUUCGUGCGGGUAGGCGAACAGUGGCAGGGGAGGUUUGGGCCCGAGGUAAGCGGCACGGCAACGCAGGUUAAGUGCUAUUUAAAUGAGGUCUGAGCGGUAGUAAGAGCGCUCACAUUUUGUUAUUCCAAGUCUGUCGUACAGCGUUCUCGAUGAAUUGUCCGUGAGCAUACAGAUGGUGAGAUUUUCAUGCUUCCGUGCCAUUCUGACAUCCCAGGCUGUAAAAAUAAAUUCUCAGAUCGCUGUGAUACCUACGGAGUA
Molecule: long non-coding RNA, 1528 nt
Filed under: Chrysolophus pictus (golden pheasant)
Lineage: Eukaryota; Metazoa; Chordata; Aves; Galliformes; Phasianidae
Description: lncRNA (ENSCPIG00010006678.1)
Source: RNAcentral